GAAGCGGGCCAGACCGCCGCCGGUGCAGGAUCCGAAAGGUUGCACGGGAGGAAGGUCCGGACUGCACAGGGCGGCGUAGCAGCUAACGGCUGUCCGGCGCGAGCCGAGGAUCAGAGCAACAGAGACGAGUCGGUGUUCUUCGCAAGAGGGGCAUCGGGUGAAACGGGCAAUCUCUACGCGCAGCAACACCGAAUAGGCACACGAUGAUUCGGCCCGAGGAGUGUGCGGGUAGGUGGCACCGAGCCGCGCAGUGAUGCGCGGCCCAGAGGAAUGGCGGUCACGGCGGGGUGCCUCGCAAGGGGAAUCCCGCCGCACAGAAUCCGGCCUAUCGGCCCGCUUCACAC
Molecule: RNase P RNA, 344 nt
Filed under: Rhizobacter sp. AJA081-3
Lineage: Bacteria; Pseudomonadati; Pseudomonadota; Betaproteobacteria; Burkholderiales; Sphaerotilaceae
Description: Bacterial RNase P class A
Rfam family: Bacterial RNase P class A
About the family: Ribonuclease P (RNase P) is a ubiquitous endoribonuclease, found in archaea, bacteria and eukarya as well as chloroplasts and mitochondria.
Source: Rfam by way of RNAcentral